UACGGAGGGGGCGAGCGUUAUUCGGAAUUACUGGGCGUAAAGCGUGCGCAGGCGGCUUUGCAAGACAGAUGUGAAAUCCCCGGGCUCAACCUGGGAACUGCAUUUGUGACUGCAAGGCUAGAGUACGGCAGAGGGGGAUGGAAUUCCGCGUGUAGCAGUGAAAUGCGUAGAUAUGCGGAGGAACACCAAUGGCGAAGGCAAUCCCCUGGGCCUGUACUGACGCUCAUGCACGAAAGCGUGGGGAGCAAACAGG
Molecule: ribosomal RNA, 253 nt
Filed under: uncultured bacterium
Lineage: Bacteria
Description: partial 16S ribosomal RNA
Rfam family: Bacterial small subunit ribosomal RNA
Source: RNAcentral